CUUCAAUAAGUUUUCAUGAAAAGAUCUGAAAAUAUCUUUCACGAGGUUGCUAAAAAACAGUGCUGAUAUUAAAAGUGAAGUUAAACUUAUAAUUUGCUUUAUCUGCAGCAAAUGAUACAGGCUUGUUUGGAAAUUACAGGACCUCAUGGGGCAAUGGAAAAUUUUGCUACAAAAUGAAGGAAAUACUUGAACAUGUCUUAAACCGGGGAACUUUGAAGAAAUGCAAAAAGUCAUCUCAACUCAUCUUUGAAUAAAAUUUACUAAAACGAUGUAUAUGCCCGUUAGAGUGUGUGGAAUUCAAUUAACAUAGCUGGAUUUCAAUUUCACUGGCAGUAUCAGAAAGUUCACCUGUAACCAGCUCCCUCUGGGGAAGAUUGCCUUCCUGUGUAAUCUGAUUUCCAUAGUUACAUGGAAUGAGAACCUGGCCCCUUGAAAACAAGGUAUUGAUCUGGUUCAAAUCUCCAGGGCCAGGUAUAAGGCAGAAAGAUUGGAAAGAAUACUGGGUAAGUGAGUUCCACUCUAUCCCAACCUCCCUUUGAUCCUAAGAGCAAUGAAAACAAAACAAAACAAAAC
Molecule: long non-coding RNA, 573 nt
Filed under: Vulpes vulpes (red fox)
Lineage: Eukaryota; Metazoa; Chordata; Mammalia; Carnivora; Canidae
Description: lncRNA (ENSVVUG00000009802.1)
Source: RNAcentral